UUUGGGGGUGCAUGAGGCACGGCCCCUAAUGGUGUCAGUCCAGGAGCGCAGAGCAUUAUGUUGGGUUGGGCUGAACUCUCCAAUGUAGCUGACUUACUAGGGUUCAGGGGUUCUGUCCUGCCGACAGCUGGGAGUGGCUCGAUCGGUUUGCUUUGCUAAAUCGUUGGGGUGAGACUUGGCGUGUCCUGCACGGGGUUGGGGGGGGGGGGGCACUGUGACUCUUAGAGACCGUGAAGCACUUCUGUGUGUGCUUCUGUGACCCGAUCUGGGGUGGGGUGUCGGGCAGGUCCCCAUAACAGGCACAGCACAGCCUCCAAGGGGUUUGGAGCAAAACUGCAUCUUCUACAAAUAACUAUUCUCCUUUUGAGAAACAGCUUUAGAGUUUUGCCCCUGGACACUGGUAGAGGCGAAAUGCCAGAUUAUGAGACCCCGAGUGAGUGUGUGACCUGAGGUGGGUGUGAUGGGAACCCCACUGUCCAGGGGAAGUCGAGGUGUAUCAGCCCCGAGCCCGUCCCGGGAGCACAAGGAAGUCACCUGAGCGGGUGGCUCAGACUCCCAGGGCACACCCCCUCCCUCCUCUCUCUGCCCACUCCCCACAGCUGUGGCCUCAGAAGAAAAACAGAGCCCGUGAACAGAUUGGUCUAUAAAUAACGCAGACACCACGGGGACGGGAGUGCCGUGACGCCUCACGCGAGCGUGCCAGAAAGGUGGAGGCAUACCUACUGGCCUCCCCUGUGCGCCUCGUCUCCUCCAGCCGACCCCGUGCCUGCCCUGUUGUGCGGUCCGUGUCUAUGCAGCUGGAGCCCCGGCGGCCCGGAGCUGGGGAUGUGUGUCACUCGUCUUUGCUUUCCCAGUGUGGAGCCUGGAACACGGAUCUCUGGAGAGAUUAGGGGUAAUCUAAAAAUCACGUUUUCAUUAAUGUUCCUGAUUCUGCACCCUGACCAUGUGUUAUCUGUGUAAGUAUCAAAAGUAACAAAAGAUUUUAAGGACACCCAGGGACGUGGAAGGUGGAGUGGACAUUGGUCUGGAAAUGAUAGGGAAAUAACAAAAGCUAGGGGCGUGAGUGCACUCGGGCAGCACGGGGCCGGG
Molecule: long non-coding RNA, 1089 nt
Filed under: Felis catus (domestic cat)
Lineage: Eukaryota; Metazoa; Chordata; Mammalia; Carnivora; Felidae
Description: lncRNA (ENSFCAG00000049139.1)
Source: RNAcentral